This 421-nucleotide ribosomal RNA is filed under the name uncultured bacterium. RNAcentral describes it as "partial 16S ribosomal RNA". It matches the Rfam family "Bacterial small subunit ribosomal RNA", at positions 360 to 773 of the family's 1533-position model. The record is from RNAcentral.
AAUAUUGGACAAUGGGGGCAACCGUGAUCCAGCCAUGCCGCGUGUGUGAAGAAGGUCUUCGGAUUGUAAUGCACUGUAAGUUGGGAGGAAGGGCUUUAGGUUAGUACGCUGAUGUUUUGACGCUACCAACAGAAUAAGCCCCGGCUACCUCUGUGCUAGCAGCCGAGGUAAUACAGAGGGUGCAAGCGUUUAUCGGAAUUACUUGGUGUAAAGCGCGCCUAGGUGGUACAGUAAGAUGGGUGUGAAAUCCCCGGGCUUAACCUGGGAACUGCUUUCAUAACUGCUGAGCUGGAGUACGGGAGAGGGUAGUGGAAUUUCCUGUGUAGCGGUGAAAUGCGUAGAUAUACGAAGGAACCCCAGUGGCGAAGGCGACUACCAGGACUGAUACUGACACUGAGGUGCGAAAGCGUGGGGAGCAAAC